Molecule: ribosomal RNA, 76 nt
Filed under: Candidatus Thioglobus sp.
Lineage: Bacteria; Pseudomonadati; Pseudomonadota; Gammaproteobacteria; Pseudothioglobaceae (SeqCode)
Also listed under: 1 other name
Description: partial 16S ribosomal RNA
Rfam family: Bacterial small subunit ribosomal RNA
Source: RNAcentral
AUUAAACUGAAGAGUUUGAUCCUGGCUCAGAUUGAACGCUGGCGGUAUGCUUAACACAUGCAAGUCGAACGGAAAC